UACGUAGGGGGCUAGCGUUGUCCGGAAUCAUUGGGCGUAAAGCGCGUGUAGGCGGCCCGAUAAGUCCGCUGUGAAAGUCCAGGGCUCAACCCUGGGAUGCCGGUGGAUACUGUCGGGCUCGAGUCCGGAAGAGGCGAGUGGAAUUCCUGGUGUAGCGGUGAAAUGCGCAGAUAUCAGGAAGAACACCGAUGGCGAAGGCAGCUCUCUGGGACGGUACUGACGCUGAGACGCGAAAGCGUGGGGAGCGAACAGG
This 253-nucleotide ribosomal RNA is filed under the name uncultured bacterium. Its description in RNAcentral is "partial 16S ribosomal RNA". It matches the Rfam family "Bacterial small subunit ribosomal RNA", at positions 524 to 776 of the family's 1533-position model. The record is from RNAcentral.